This 454-nucleotide ribosomal RNA is filed under the name uncultured bacterium. RNAcentral describes it as "partial 16S ribosomal RNA". It matches the Rfam family "Bacterial small subunit ribosomal RNA", at positions 28 to 507 of the family's 1533-position model. The record is from RNAcentral.
GAUGAACGCUGACAGAAUGCUUAACACAUGCAAGUCCACUUGAACUUCGGUUUGGGUGGCGGACGGGUGAGUAACGCGUAAAGAACUUGCCUCACAGCUAGGGACAACAUUUGGAAACGAAUGCUAAUACCUGAUAUUAUGAUUAUAUGGCAUCGUAUAAUUAUGAAAGCUAUAUGCGCUGUGAGAGAGCUUUGCGUCCCAUUAGCUAGUUGGAGAGGUAACAGCUCACCAAGGCGAUGAUGGGUAGCCGGCCUGAGAGGGUGAUCGGCCACAAGGGGACUGAGACACGGCCCUUACUCCUACGGGAGGCAGCAGUGGGGAAUAUUGGACAGUGGACCGAGAGUCUGAUCCAGCAAUUCUGUGUGCACGAUGAAGUUUUUCGGAAUGUAAAGUGCUUUCAGUUGGGAAGAAAAAAAUGACGGUACCAACAGAAGAAGUGACGGCUAAAUACGUG